Molecule: ribosomal RNA, 253 nt
Filed under: uncultured bacterium
Lineage: Bacteria
Description: partial 16S ribosomal RNA
Rfam family: Bacterial small subunit ribosomal RNA
Source: RNAcentral
UACGUAGGGUGCAAGCGUUGUCCGGAAUUAUUGGGCGUAAAGAGCUCGUAGGCGGUUUGUCGCGUCUGCUGUGAAAACUCGGGGCUUAACUCCGGGCCUGCAGUGGGUACGGGCAGACUAGAGUGCGGUAGGGGAGACUGGAAUUCCUGGUGUAGUGGUGAAAUGCGUAGAUAUCGGGAGGAACACCAGUGGCGAAGGCGACUUCCUGGCCUGUUCUUGACGCUGAGGCGCGAAAGCUAGGGGAGCAAACGGG